AAGAAAUAUUUUACAUAUAUAUUUUUUUAGCAAUAUUCUCAACUUAGUAUUAGCAAAUAUUUUUCUCAACCUUAAAGGCAAAGAAUAUUCUCAACUUAGUAUAAAUAUUUUUCUGAACCUUAAAGGCAAAGCAAUAUUCCCAACUUAGUAUUAGUAAUAUUCUCAACUUAUUAAUAGCAGAACCUUAAAGGCAAAGUAUGGGAAGAAAUGAAGAGAUUGUGCCUUCUUUGAUAAAUCAUGCACAAGAAGAUGGAGAGGAUGAUCUCCUUUUUUACUAUUUUUCAACAAAAUUUUUAUAGAUGAAGAAGUUGUAAUCGAUAUCUCCAUUGCAGCUGAUAGCUCUGUAACUUUACCAAUAUCAGUUAAUAACAUUCAA
This is a long non-coding RNA of Gordionus sp. m RMFG-2023, 376 nucleotides long. RefSeq lists it as uncharacterized. The transcript has 4 exons. NCBI's taxonomy places the organism in Eukaryota, Metazoa, Nematomorpha, Gordioida, Chordodea, Parachordodidae. The record is from RefSeq and is a predicted model, not a curated record.